CCACACCUAAAAUCUUUCCACGUGACUGUUUUGCUGUUUUUGUUGGGGCUGUUCUGUUCUGUUGUGCUGCUUUUUUGCGGUGGGGCGGGGCGGUUUGGCCUAUCAACUGGGUUGUUGUGUGAGGGGAGCUAGCCUUUGUGGCGGGUACCUGUUGCGUGGCGCCUGGUUUGUUUUAAACCCAUUUGAAAUGACUGAUUUAUAUUGCGGGGGAGAAAUCCUUUGCUCUUAACUAGAUACAACUUUCAGCAGUGGAUGUCUAGGCUCGCACAUCGAUGAAGAACGCUGCGAACUGCGAUACGUAAUGCGAAUUGCAGGAUUCAGUGAGUCAUCGAAAUUUUGAACGCAUAUUGCACUUCCGGGUUAUGCCUGGGAGUAUGUCUGUAUCAGUGUCCGUACAUCAAAGUUGCCUCUCUUCCUUCCGUGUAGUCGGUGGAUGGGGAUGGCAGAUGUGAAGUGUCUUGUGUGGUGGCAGCGCGCUUUGUGUGCUGACUGUCUGUCAAGUCCUUUUAAAUGUACCGUGUUUCUUCUUUGGCUCGAACUGGUGUCUUUCGCGUGCUAUUUUUGCGGCAUGCCGGGGACCUGUUGUGAGGACGUUUAGGAGAUCGCUUUCGAUUCGUGGUAUGUUAGGCUUCGGCCGGACAGUUCACUUAUUGUUAGUGUUUUCCUGUUUUCUCGACUGGGUGUACUGGUAGUUGUGGGAAUUUUUGGCGUGUGAAUGUUGUCUGUAGUAGAGUGCCUUGGUUUGAUUGUCUUGGCGGAGCGACGCAAAGUUUUUGGGAGUGUGGCUGUUUGCUUAAGUGCUUUCGGCUUGCAUCUCAA
This 819-nucleotide ribosomal RNA is filed under the name Halophytophthora exoprolifera. Its description in RNAcentral is "eukaryotic LSU rRNA". The stretch from base 238 to 392 matches the Rfam family "5.8S ribosomal RNA". The record is from RNAcentral. Lineage: Eukaryota; Oomycota; Peronosporomycetes; Peronosporales; Peronosporaceae.